CAGGAAUUUUUAUAAGGUAAGGUACAACCCCACCAAGCUAUGAGAGGCUUUCCCUCUGACAAAGGGUUGUGCUGUUUAAUAUACAGGUAUCACAGAGGUUUGUUAAUAUUUGCCAUGUACCUUUUUAAUGGAAGUUUAAUGGAUUCCUAAUGGUAAGGAUGCAUUGGACCAUAAAAAGGAAUAUGUUUGCUUGCCCUAACUCUUAGCCUACCUACCCAGAAAAUAGCUGCCUAAUAAAAAUCUUUUUAUUGUCCUGAUUUGAAGAAGUUUCUUUUUUUAAUCAGAUAGGCAGGAAGACUAAUAAACAGCUGAUACUUCAAUUUCUUUUUUGUUGAAAAAAGGAAAUGUCUACCUACCCACUGUCUCAGCCAUUGAAUGUAGGGUUCGGGCAAACCAACAAAUUUUUAAGUGUGGCCUUUUAGCAAUGUUUAGUAAUACCUAGCACUUUAUUCCAGAAAUCCCAACCUUAGAUUUUCUUCAUUUCUAAAUUUGUUCUUUUUGCAAAAACUUUGGAACACAGGGAGGGGUUUUGUUACAAUUUGCUGGGUUUACUUUUUAUCUAUACAAUUUAAAAACCGAAAAAAAUUACAAGGGUAGAACCCCCUUAGCAACUGUGUUUCAAAUCAUUGUAUCAAUUUAAUACAAUGAUUUUAAACACAUAUAAGACUUUCACUUACAUGUACUUUGUUUCCACUUAAUUUGUCUCCUCAGUGGCGUAUCCAGAACUUUUCAAAAAGGGGGGGGAGGGUUAUCUGACUGACCAAAGGGAGCCCACUCCAGUCAUGCUUCAGCGAAUCCCUAUAAAAUCAACCAUUUUUUUUUUCUCAAGAAAUGGGAGGGCCCCUGGAUCCGCCUAUGCUUCUAUUUUAAAAUAUGUCUAUCACGGCACUAUGACAUGUAAACUGAAGUGUGAUUUUUGGGGGUUUCUUAUGUAUGAACCCGGCAAAUUGUAACAAACCCAUGUGGAGUACAUAGAGCUAUACUGAAUGGACAACUACCAUCCUAGACCAGGAUCAAAAGUGCUAACCGAGUGAUAAAAUACUUGAAAGACUCAAGAGAAUUGCCGUAGCCUACAUGUAGCCUGUCGGCAAAAUUCAUAGAAUUUCUUCUUUUUUCGCUUCAAAUAUACUCCUCAUAGUUACCAGGAUUGAAAUUUUGUGUUUGCAUCAGAUGCACGUUUCGUCAAAGUAAUUUUUAAACUUCAAUUUGGCGACAAUCCUAGUUGAAGGAGAUGAAGCGAUGAGAUGAUUCUCAUAAUUUCCGCCAUCGCCACUUUACCUCAUUACUCCUAACCUUCCGCAAAUAUUUUUUUCGACAAUCCUCGCUAAAUUGUGUAUCACGCAAGGGACUUUGCAGAGAAUACCGAAUGCUUGUCGGCCAUGAGGAAAUUUCCUCAUGGAGUCGGACAAUGUGUGGCAGAGGUCAUAUUAAGUGCAGUAUUGCAAAGCAUGUAUGGAACGGAUAUGAACUCUGCGCCGGAGAUUGACAGACAGACAGACAUAUUAAUUACAAAAGGAUAGACAUUAAACACUAAUAUGAGGCAGGCAUAACCUGUGAAUGGGGACGAAGUCUGUAUGUAUAUUUUUUUUACUUCAAACAUGUUAAUAAAAAAUACGGAAAUACCGUAACGUUCCCGAUUUUGGUUCUGUUGUUAGGGAUUUAGCUGUGACGUUCUUUAAGUUAUGACGUCAUAUUCAAUGUAAACAAAAGAAACCCUUCCAUCAGGUAACGUUUUUUUUUUAAAUCAAACAAUUAUCAUAUUAAAAUUUUAUUGAG
RNAcentral lists this long non-coding RNA (1776 nucleotides) under Mytilus galloprovincialis (Mediterranean mussel). The record is from RNAcentral. Lineage: Eukaryota; Metazoa; Mollusca; Bivalvia; Mytilida; Mytilidae.